UUUCGCAUAUCUUUAUUUUUGAGGAAAAGAAACCAACAGGGAUUGCCUUAGUAGCGGCGAGUGAGCGGCAAAAGCUCAAAUUUGAAAUCUGGCUCUUUCAGAGUCCGAGUUGUAAUUUGAAGAAGGUAUCUUUGGGUCUGGCUCUUGUCUAUGUUUCUUGGAACAGAACGUCACAGAGGGUGAGAAUCCCGUGCGAUGAGAUGAUCCAGGCCUAUGUAAAGUUCCUUCGAAGAGUCGAGUUGUUUGGGAAUGCAGCUCUAAGUGGGUGGUAAAUUCCAUCUAAAGCUAAAUAUUGGCGAGAGACCGAUAGCGAACAAGUACAGUGAUGGAAAGAUGAAAAGAACUUUGAAAAGAGAGUGAAAAAGUACGUGAAAUUGUUGAAAGGGAAGGGCUUGAGAUCAGACUUGGUAUUUUGUAUGUUACUUCUUCGGGGGUGGCCUCUACAGUUUAUCGGGCCAGCAUCAGUUUGGGCGGUAGGAGAAUUGCGUUGGAAUGUGGCACGGCUUCGGUUGUGUGUUAUAGCCUUCGUCGAUACUGCCAGCCUAGACUGAGGACUGCGGUUUAUACCUAGGAUGUUGGCAUAAGGACCGUAAGUCGCCCGUCUUGAAACACGGGACCGGGGG
This 623-nucleotide ribosomal RNA is filed under the name Candida tropicalis. Its description in RNAcentral is "eukaryotic LSU rRNA". It matches the Rfam family "Eukaryotic large subunit ribosomal RNA", at positions 34 to 664 of the family's 3401-position model. The record is from RNAcentral. Lineage: Eukaryota; Fungi; Ascomycota; Pichiomycetes; Serinales; Debaryomycetaceae.